AUUGAACGCUGGCGGCAGGCCUAACACAUGCAAGUCGAACGGUAACAGGAAACAGCUUGCUGUUUCGCUGACGAGUGGCGGACGGGUGAGUAAUGUCUGGGAAACUGCCUGAUGGAGGGGGAUAACUACUGGAAACGGUAGCUAAUACCGCAUAACGUCGCAAGACCAAAGAGGGGGACCUUCGGGCCUCUUGCCAUCGGAUGUGCCCAGAUGGGAUUAGCUAGUAGGUGGGGUAACGGCUCACCUAGGCGACGAUCCCUAGCUGGUCUGAGAGGAUGACCAGCCACACUGGAACUGAGACACGGUCCAGACUCCUACGGGAGGCAGCAGUGGGGAAUAUUGCACAAUGGGCGCAAGCCUGAUGCAGCCAUGCCGCGUGUAUGAAGAAGGCCUUCGGGUUGUAAAGUACUUUCAGCGGGGAGGAAGGGAGUAAAGUUAAUACCUUUGCUCAUUGACGUUACCCGCAGAAGAAGCACCGGCUAACUCCGUGCCAGCAGCCGCGGUAAUACGGAGGGUGCAAGCGUUAAUCGGAAUUACUGGGCGUAAAGCGCACGCAGGCGGUUUGUUAAGUCAGAUGUGAAAUCCCCGGGCUCAACCUGGGAACUGCAUCUGAUACUGGCAAGCUUGAGUCUCGUAGAGGGGGGUAGAACUCCAGGCGUAGCGGUGAAAUGCGUAGAGAUCUGGAGGAAUACCGGUGGCGAAGGCGGCCCCCUGGACGAAGACUGACGCUCAGGUGCGAAAGCGUGGGGGAGCAAACAGGAUUAGAUACCCUGGUAGUCCACGCCGUAAACGAUGUCGACUUGGAGGUUGUGCCCUUGAGGCGUGGCUUCCGGAGCUAACGCGUUAAGUCGACCGCCUGGGGAGUACGGCCGCAAGGUUAAAACUCAAAUGAAUUGACGGGGGCCCGCACAAGCGGUGGAGCAUGUGGUUUAAUUCGAUGCAACGCGAAGAACCUUACCUGGUCUUGACAUCCACGGAAGUUUUCAGAGAUGAGAAUGUGCCUUCGGGAACCGUGAGACAGGUGCUGCAUGGCUGUCGUCAGCUCGUGUUGUGAAAUGUUGGGUUAAGUCCCGCAACGAGCGCAACCCUUAUCCUUUGUUGCCAGCGGUCCGGCCGGGAACUCAAAGGAGACUGCCAGUGAUAAACUGGAGGAAGGUGGGGAUGACGUCAAGUCAUCAUGGCCCUUACGACCAGGGCUACACACGUGCUACAAUGGCGCAUACAAAGAGAAGCGACCUCGCGAGAGCAAGCGGACCUCAUAAAGUGCGUCGUAGUCCGGAUUGGAGUCUGCAACUCGACUCCAUGAAGUCGGAAUCGCUAGUAAUCGUGGAUCAGAAUGCCACGGUGAAUACGUUCCCGGGCCU
Molecule: ribosomal RNA, 1364 nt
Filed under: uncultured bacterium
Lineage: Bacteria
Description: bacterial SSU rRNA
Rfam family: Bacterial small subunit ribosomal RNA
Source: RNAcentral